RNAcentral lists this long non-coding RNA (2285 nucleotides) under Penaeus monodon (black tiger shrimp). Its description in RNAcentral is "uncharacterized LOC119578766". Lineage: Eukaryota; Metazoa; Arthropoda; Malacostraca; Decapoda; Penaeidae. The record is from RNAcentral.
CUAUUAUUGAUUUGCAAUAUUUCAGCGAGAGGCAGACUACGCAGCAGCACGGUUGCGUAUCAUGGGAUCUACAUCCAAAUCUGUCGAGGAGCCCAUGUUAACAGGAAAUCCACCUGGAAGUCACCUGAUGAACAUGCACAGAGAACCUCAGAAUAAUGUGGGGGUGGUCAGGACGCCAAAAGGCCCAGACGGAACUGCGGGUUUUGGAAGAGGAACCAGUCUCCAUAGGUAGCAAGACGCCAGGCUAGCUGCCAACAGUUUACCUUAAAAGAAUGAGAAAAACAAAAACUAAUUGAAAGCAAGUUGAAUGAAAAAAAGAAAGAAAUCUACAGGGUUUAAAAGCAAAAGCAAAAUGAGGGCACAUAUCUUCCUCAGCCCAUGCAAAUCUGUGGUCUUGUCUUGAAACUGUGACUUAACUUCUGCAUCACCAGUUGUCUGUGGAUUUCACACGUACACAUACACAAGCACAUACACACACCAUUUUUAUUUCAAGCUGAGCAACUAAAUUUAUUUUGAUUGAACUUAUGCAAUUGGAGAAGGAAAGAGUAGUAACAUCAGUGUUAUUUUUAAAUAACCAACUAUCAUUGGCUUUUUGCUGGUGAAGAAAACCCUCAAAAGAAGAAGUAUAUCUUGCAAACGUGGAACAAGUAGCGAUACCUUAUUUUUUCCUGUCUUUCAUCUUUUUCUCUUUCCCUUUUUUUUUCAUUCCUAGCUAUAGUACCUAUUUAAAUCUUAAGAAUUGCCACUCUAUUGUAGAAGCAGCAAUUUGCUCUAAGAUAUAGGAGAUUUGUAUACCACUUCAAUUCACAAAUCACUUUUUCAAAUCAUGUAAGCAUUCAUCAGUCCAUUAAUUCUCUCUUAAUAAGUGAUGUUAUGUUGAAAGUGUACCUUUAAUUUACUGAGAUUUCUUUUUUUGUGUUUUUUUAUUUUUUUUAAUUGUUUUCACUUCUUUGUAUUUUUUGCUGUAAAAUCACUCCCAAAUUAUUUCCUGUAUCUUGUAAUUUCUUCUUUAACUGAAAUUGCAGCUUUGUCAUCUACUUUAGUGCUUUUCAAUUAAAGCAGUUGCUUCUUGUUUCCCCACAUUUCACUUUACAUAAAUUUUAUCUUUAAUGAUAAUCGCUGGUUCUGAGGAAAAGAAAUAUUGCUUUUUUUUCCUUUUUUUUAAUAUACCCACAAAAGAAUGUUAACAAAAAAGCCCAUUUGGACAUGUUGCUUGCAAUAUCCAGAUAUGCAACAUGUCUUAAACCUGUGACUUUAAUGUUAAUGCCUUGCCAGUAGUUGUUCUGCAGUAUUUUUUUAAUCCUGUCUUUGUAACCUGCCAUGAUCAUGUGCACACAACUCAAUAUUAUGUUUUUUCCCUCUUCAAUAUGCUUCACUGUUAAAAAAGUAGUCCAUAUUUUUAUCGGAAUUGUUUGCUGGUUUCAUUCAGCAAGCAGAUUAAUAUAUCUUCCUGCAGUGUAAAUGCAUAUAUAUAUGUAUAUAUAUGUAUAUAUGUAUUUUGUUUAUAUCUAUCUAUCUAUAUAUAUAUAUAUAUGCAUGUAUACAAAAUAAAUGCCUUAGAUAUAUUUUUAGAAUGAUUUCUAACUGAGGGAUUGUUCUUGUUUGUCCCUGGUACAUCUAAGGCAGCCUUGUAAAUAUGUAGUUACCAUUCACUAGAGAAGGUUUGACAAAUAAACACCAUCCUUUGUUUUAAGGGAUGUCACUGAUAUAGAUGUCAAAGCAUUAUUGCCUUAUGGUUUUUUAGAGAGACCAACAAUCAAAAUUCUUUUUUGAGUAGGAAAGAGAGGUACAUUAAAUGCUUGACAGUUCUUUUACACCCGGCUGCAACAACUUGCCCAUUUGAAGAUUUUUUACCAGAAUGUCCUCAGGCACUAAACUGUUCGUAGAUGGGUUAUAUGAUUUUUUUGGUCUCACUUUCAUUUUUUGUUUGUUUGUUUAUUGCUAUUGCUAAUGUGGUCCUAUAGUGUAUUAUUUUGAAGUCAGGAUUUCCUGUUUAUAACUUUUGGUUCUGAUUUUGCUUUCUUACAAUUUUGUUUUCAUGUCCUUUUUCUCUCAAGAAAAAAUCUCAGCCUAUCUUACCCUUCCCCUCUUGCCUGAAAAAAAAGAAAAAAAAGAAGUUAAUUAGGGAUGGCCUUAAAAAGAAAAAAAAUAUAUAUAUAUUGGAAACUUUUAUGGAAUUAAUUUUUUGUAGUAGGGUUGUCUACUGAUUUUUAUGCCAAGUUUUACGUAGAUUGUUUACCACGCAUUAAAUGAAGAGCGAGUCUGAGUCACACACAGACAAACGU